ACAUGCAGUCGAGCGGACAGAAGGGAGCUUGCUCCCGGAUGUUAGCGGCGGACGGGUGAGUAACACGUGGGUAACCUGCCUGUAAGACUGGGAUAACUCCGGGAAACCGGAGCUAAUACCGGAUAGUUCCUUGAACCGCAKGGUUCAAGGAUGAAAGACGGUUUCGGCUGUCACUUACAGAUGGACCCGCGGCGCAUUAGCUAGUUGGUGGGGUAAUGGCUCACCAAGGCGACGAUGCGUAGCCGACCUGAGAGGGUGAUCGGCCACACUGGGACUGAGACACGGCCCAGACUCCUACGGGAGGCAGCAGUAGGGAAUCUUCCGCAAUGGACGAAAGUCUGACGGAGCAACGCCGCGUGAGUGAUGAAGGUUUUCGGAUCGUAAAGCUCUGUUGUUAGGGAAGAACAAGUGCGAGAGUAACUGCUCGCACCUUGACGGUACCUAACCAGAAAGCCACGGCUAACUACGUGCCAGCAGCCGCGGUAAUACGUAGGUGGCAAGCGUUGUCCGGAAUUAUUGGGCGUAAAGGGCUCGCAGGCGGUUUCUUAAGUCUGAUGUGAAAGCCCCCGGCUCAACCGGGGAGGGUCAUUGGAAACUGGGAAACUUGAGUGCAGAAGAGGAGAGUGGAAUUCCACGUGUAGCGGUGAAAUGCGUAGAGAUGUGGAGGAACACCAGUGGCGAAGGCGACUCUCUGGUCUGUAACUGACGCUGAGGAGCGAAAGCGUGGGGAGCGAACAGGAUUAGAUACCCUGGUAGUCCACGCCGUAAACGAUGAGUGCUAAGUGUUAGGGGGUUUCCGCCCCUUAGUGCUGCAGCUAACGCAUUAAGCACUCCGCCUGGGGAGUACGGUCGCAAGACUGAAACUCAA
RNAcentral lists this ribosomal RNA (868 nucleotides) under Bacillus sp. 81B4_12AMannit. RNAcentral's name for it is "bacterial SSU rRNA". It matches the Rfam family "Bacterial small subunit ribosomal RNA", at positions 53 to 904 of the family's 1533-position model. The record is from RNAcentral. Lineage: Bacteria; Bacillati; Bacillota; Bacilli; Caryophanales; Bacillaceae.